RNAcentral lists this ribosomal RNA (405 nucleotides) under uncultured bacterium. RNAcentral describes it as "bacterial SSU rRNA". It matches the Rfam family "Bacterial small subunit ribosomal RNA", at positions 355 to 776 of the family's 1533-position model. The record is from RNAcentral. RNAcentral also lists the same sequence under 1 other name.
UGAGGAAUAUUCGGCAAUGGGGGCAACCCUGACCGAGCAACGCCGCGUGGAGGAUGACGGUUUUUGGAUUGUAAACUCCUUUUCUCAGGGAAGAGUGAGGACGGUACCUGAGGAAUAAGUCACGGCUAACUACGUGCCAGCAGCCGCGGUAAUACGUAGGUGGCAAGCGUUAUCCGGAAUUACUGGGCGUAAAGCGCACGCAGGUGGUUUGCUAAGAUUGACGUGAAAGCGCCUGGCUUAACUGGGCGAGGUCGUUGAUGACUGGUAGACUUGAGGCGAGGAGAGGGGUGUAGAAUUCCCGGUGUAGUGGUGGAAUGCGUAGAUAUCGGGAGGAAUACCAGUGGCGAAAGCGGCACCCUGGCCUUGGCCUGACGCUCAGGUGCGAAAGCGUGGGGAGCGAACGGG